Molecule: transfer RNA, 77 nt
Filed under: Alphaproteobacteria bacterium
Lineage: Bacteria; Pseudomonadati; Pseudomonadota; Alphaproteobacteria
Description: tRNA-His
Rfam family: tRNA
About the family: Transfer RNA (tRNA) molecules are approximately 80 nucleotides in length. Their secondary structure includes four short double-helical elements and three loops (D, anti-codon, and T loops).
Source: RNAcentral
GCGGAUGUAGCUCAGUUGGUUAGAGCACCGGUUUGUGGUACCGGGUGUCGUCGGUUCGAAUCCGAUCAUCCGCCCCA